RNAcentral lists this transfer RNA (74 nucleotides) under Kroppenstedtia eburnea. Its description in RNAcentral is "Thermoactinomycetaceae bacterium JFMB-ATE tRNA". It matches the Rfam family "tRNA". Rfam says of the family: Transfer RNA (tRNA) molecules are approximately 80 nucleotides in length. Their secondary structure includes four short double-helical elements and three loops (D, anti-codon, and T loops). Further hydrogen bonds mediate the characteristic L-shaped molecular structure. tRNAs have two regions of fundamental functional importance: the anti-codon, which is responsible for specific mRNA codon recognition, and the 3' end, to which the tRNAs corresponding amino acid is attached (by aminoacyl-tRNA synthetases). tRNAs cope with the degeneracy of the genetic code in two manners: having more than one tRNA (with a specific anti-codon) for a particular amino acid; and 'wobble' base-pairing, i.e. permitting non-standard base-pairing at the 3rd anti-codon position. The record is from Rfam by way of RNAcentral. RNAcentral also lists the same sequence under 3 other names. Lineage: Bacteria; Bacillati; Bacillota; Bacilli; Caryophanales; Thermoactinomycetaceae.
GUGCCCUUAGCUCAGCUGGAUAGAGCGUCUGACUACGAAUCAGAAGGUCGGGAGUUCGAAUCUCUCAGGGCACG